UAGAUAUAUCUUAGAACUCCAAUUGCGAAGGCAGCUUACUAAACUAGCAUUGACGCUGAUGGACGAAAGCGUGGGUAGCGAACAGGAUUAGAUACCCUGGUAGUCCACGCCGUAAACGAUGAUUACUCGUUGUGCGCGAUAUAUUGUGCGUGACUGAGCGAAAGCAUUAAGUAAUCCACCUGGGGAGUACGUUGGCAACAAUGAAACUCAAAGGAAUUGACGGGGGCCCGCACAAGCGGAGGAACAUGUGGUUUAAUUCGAUGAUACGCGAGGAACCUUACCUGGGCUUAAAUGUAGAUUGACAGAUCUGGAAACGGAUUUUUCUUCGGACAAUUUACAAGGUGCUGCAUGGUUGUCGUCAGCUCGUGCCGUGAGGUGUCGGGUUAAGUCCCAUAACGAGCGCAACCCCUAUCUUUAGUUGCUAGCAGGUAAAGCUGAGGACUCUAAAGAGACUGCCACCGUAAGGUGCGAGGAAGGCGGGGAUGACGUCAAAUCAGCACGGCCCUUACGUCCAGGGCUACACACGUGUUACAAUGGUUGGUACAAAGGGCAGCUACCUGGUGACAGGAUGCUAAUCUCUAAAGCCAAUCUCAGUUCGGAUCGGAGUCUGCAACUCGACUCCGUGAAGUUGGAUUCGCUAGUAAUCGCAUAUCAGCAACGAUGCGGUGAAUACGUUCCCGGGCCUUGUACACACCGCCCA
Molecule: ribosomal RNA, 700 nt
Filed under: uncultured Bacteroidota bacterium
Lineage: Bacteria; Pseudomonadati; Bacteroidota
Description: bacterial SSU rRNA
Rfam family: Bacterial small subunit ribosomal RNA
Source: RNAcentral